GCUGAGCACUCCUACGGGAGGCAGCAGUGGGGAAUAUUGCACAAUGGGCGCAAGCCUGAUGCAGCCAUGCCGCGUGUAUGAAGAAGGCCUUCGGGUUGUAAAGUACUUUCAGCAGUGAGGAAGGUGGAUAUGUUAAUAGCAUAUUCAUUUGACGUUAGCUGCAGAAGAAGCACCGGCUAACUCCGUGCCAGCAGCCGCGGUAAUACGGAGGGUGCGAGCGUUAAUCGGAAUUACUGGGCGUAAAGCGCAUGCAGGUGGUUUGUUAAGUCAGAUGUGAAAGCCCGGGGCUCAACCUCGGAAUUGCAUUUGAAACUGGCAAACUAGAGUACUGUAGAGGGGGUAGAAUUUCAGGUGUAGCGGUGAAAUGCGUAGAGAUCUGAAGGAAUACCGGUGGCGAAGGCGGCCCCCUGGACAGAUACUGACACUCAGAUGCGAAAGCGUGGGGAGCAAACAGGAUUAGAUACCCUGGUAG
Molecule: ribosomal RNA, 472 nt
Filed under: uncultured bacterium
Lineage: Bacteria
Description: bacterial SSU rRNA
Rfam family: Bacterial small subunit ribosomal RNA
Source: RNAcentral